This 395-nucleotide ribosomal RNA is filed under the name uncultured bacterium. RNAcentral describes it as "partial 16S ribosomal RNA". It matches the Rfam family "Bacterial small subunit ribosomal RNA", at positions 523 to 918 of the family's 1533-position model. The record is from RNAcentral.
AUACGUAGGUGACAAGCGUUAUCCGGAUUUACUGGGCGUAAAGGGCGUGUAGGCGGUCUUGCAAGUCAGAAGUGAAAUUCCUGAGCUCAACUCGGGCGCUGCUUCUGAAACUGCAGGACUUGAGUGCUGGGGGGAUAGCGGAAUUCCUAGUGGAGCGGUAAAAUGCGCAGAUAUUAGGAAGAACACCGGUGGCGAAGGCGGCUAUCUGGACAGUAAUUGACGCUGAGGCGCGAAAGCGUGGGGAGCAAACAGGAUUAGAUACCCUGGUAGUCCACGCCGUAAACGAUGAUUACUAGGUGUGGGGGGACUGACCCCCUCCGUGCCGCAGUUAACACAAUAAGUAAUCCACCUGGGGAGUACGACCGCAAGGUUGAAACUCAAAGGAAUUGACGGGG